RNAcentral lists this ribosomal RNA (253 nucleotides) under uncultured bacterium. RNAcentral describes it as "partial 16S ribosomal RNA". It matches the Rfam family "Bacterial small subunit ribosomal RNA", at positions 524 to 776 of the family's 1533-position model. The record is from RNAcentral.
UACGGAGGGGGCGAGCGUUGUUCGGAAUUACUGGGCGUAAAGGGCAUGUAGGCGGUUCUGUAAGCCUGACGUGAAAGGCUAUGGCUCAACCAUGGCACUGCGUUGGGAACUGCGGGACUUGAAUCAUGGAGGGGGAGCUGGAAUUCCAGGUGUAGGGGUGAAAUCUGUAGAUAUCUGGAAGAACACCAGUGGCGAAGGCGAGCUCCUGGCCAAUGAUUGACGCUGAGGUGCGAAAGUGUGGGGAUCAAACAGG